Molecule: ribosomal RNA, 443 nt
Filed under: uncultured bacterium
Lineage: Bacteria
Description: partial 16S ribosomal RNA
Rfam family: Bacterial small subunit ribosomal RNA
Source: RNAcentral
CCUACGGGUGGCAGCAGUGGGGAAUAUUGGGCAAUGGGCGCAAGCCUGACCCAGCAACGCCGCGUGAAGGAAGAAUGCUUUCGGGUUGUAAACUUCUUUUCUCAGGGACGAAGCAAGUGACGGUACUUGAGGAAUACGCCACGGCUAACUACGUGACAGCAGCCGCGGGAAUACGUAGGUGGCAAGCGUUAUCCGGAUUUACUGGGUGUAAAGGGAGUGUAGGCGGGACUGUAAGUCAGCUGUGAAAACAAGGGGCGCAACCUAUGUCCUGCAUUUGAAACUGGAGUUCUUGAGUACUGGAGAGGCAGACGGAAUUCGUGGUGUAGCGGUGAAAUGCGUAGAUAUUAGGAGGAACACCGGUGGCGAAGGCAGUCUGCUGGACAGCAACUGACGCUGAGGCGCGAAAGCGUGGGGAGCAAACAGGAUUAGAUACCCGAGUAGUC